Molecule: small nuclear RNA, 109 nt
Organism: Rhinolophus ferrumequinum (greater horseshoe bat)
Lineage: Eukaryota; Metazoa; Chordata; Mammalia; Chiroptera; Rhinolophidae
Source: Ensembl
GCUCACUUCUGAAGCAUACUUAUUAUACUAACGUUAGAGAAGAGAGUCAUUAUUAGCAUGACCCCUGCACAAGGACGGCACACGAAUUUGUUAUGUGUCCCAUAUUUUU